RNAcentral lists this ribosomal RNA (505 nucleotides) under uncultured bacterium. RNAcentral's name for it is "bacterial SSU rRNA". It matches the Rfam family "Bacterial small subunit ribosomal RNA", at positions 32 to 506 of the family's 1533-position model. The record is from RNAcentral.
AAUCAACGCUGGCGGCGUGCCUAACACAUGCAAGUCGAACGCGAAAGCGUCUUCGGACGUGAGUAGAGUGGCGUCCGGGUGAGUAACACGUAGGUAAUCUACCUUCGGGUGGGGAAUAACGCCUCGAAAGAGGCGCUAAUACCGCAUAACGCAGCGGCAGCUAAUGCUGAUUAGUUGUUAAAGCGGGGGACCGAGAGAUCGGCCUCGCGCCUGAAGAGGAGCCUGCGGCAGAUUAGCUAGUUGGCGGGGUAACGGCCCACCAAGGCGACGAUCUGUAGCUGGUCUGAGAGGACGGCCAGCCACACUGGCACUGACACACGGGCCAGACUCCUACGGGAGGUAGCAGUGGGGUAAGUUUUGGGCAAUGGGCGAAAGCCUGACCCAGCAACGCCGCGUGAGGGAGGAAAUCCUUCGGGAUGUAAACCUCACAAGCAAGGGAAGAGCGCAUGAAGGAGAAUACCCUUCAUGCCCGACGGUACCUUGCGUAAGCCACGGCUAACUACGU